This 60-nucleotide transfer RNA is filed under the name bovine gut metagenome. It matches the Rfam family "tRNA", at positions 6 to 65 of the family's 71-position model. From Rfam's summary of the family: Transfer RNA (tRNA) molecules are approximately 80 nucleotides in length. Their secondary structure includes four short double-helical elements and three loops (D, anti-codon, and T loops). The record is from RNAcentral.
CGUGGCCAAGUGGUAAGGCUCUGGACUCUGACUCCAGCAUCACAGGUUCGAAUCCUGUCG